RNAcentral lists this ribosomal RNA (253 nucleotides) under uncultured bacterium. RNAcentral describes it as "partial 16S ribosomal RNA". It matches the Rfam family "Bacterial small subunit ribosomal RNA", at positions 524 to 776 of the family's 1533-position model. The record is from RNAcentral.
UACGAAGGGGGCUAGCGUUGUUCGGAAUUACUGGGCGUAAAGCGCACGUAGGCGGAUUUGUUAGUCAGGGGUGAAAUCCCGGGGCUCAACCUCGGAACUGCCUUUGAUACUGCAAGUCUCGAGCCCGGAAGAGGUGGGUGGAAUUCCUAGUGUAGAGGUGAAAUUCGUAGAUAUUAGGAAGAACACCAGUGGCGAAGGCGGCCCACUGGUCCGGUACUGACGCUGAGGUGCGAAAGCGUGGGGAGCAAUCAGG